This 454-nucleotide ribosomal RNA is filed under the name uncultured Rikenellaceae bacterium. Its description in RNAcentral is "partial 16S ribosomal RNA". It matches the Rfam family "Bacterial small subunit ribosomal RNA", at positions 341 to 792 of the family's 1533-position model. Lineage: Bacteria; Pseudomonadati; Bacteroidota; Bacteroidia; Bacteroidales; Rikenellaceae. The record is from RNAcentral. RNAcentral also lists the same sequence under 1 other name.
ACGGAAGGCAGCAGUGAGGAAUAUUGGUCAAUGGACGGAAGUCUGAACCAGCCAUGCCGCGUGAAGGAAUAAGGCCCUAUGGGUCGUAAACUUCUUUUGUGGUGGAGCAAUAAGGUGCACGUGUGCAUCGAUGAGAGUACAUCACGAAUAAGCAUCGGCUAACUCCGUGCCAGCAGCCGCGGUAAUACGGAGGAUGCGAGCGUUAUCCGGAUUUAUUGGGUUUAAAGGGUGCGUAGGCUGUUCUUCAAGUCAGAGGUGAAAUCCCGGGGCUCAACCCUGGAACUGCCUUUGAUACUGGAGGGCUUGAAUACUGUUGCCGUGGGAGGAAUGAGUAGUGUAGCGGUGAAAUGCAUAGAUAUUACUCAGAACACCGAUUGCGAAGGCAUCUCACGAAGCAGCGAUUGACGCUGAGGCACGAAAGCGUGGGGAUCAAACAGGAUUAGAUACCCUGGUA